Non-coding RNA from Leptonychotes weddellii (Weddell seal), 548 nucleotides. The record is from RefSeq and is a predicted model, not a curated record. NCBI's taxonomy places the organism in Eukaryota, Metazoa, Chordata, Mammalia, Carnivora, Phocidae.
CCUUCCCUCCCUCCUGCCGUCCGUCCCCCCAUCUCUGCUCAGCUUCUCCACAGCCUCGGCUCUGACACCUGAAGGGACUGGAGCGGGCGCGGGGAGUCCCGACAGGCGGCGGCGGAGCGGGACGGUCAGUCCAGCGGAGGCCUCCGCAUGGCCCCGCCAUGAGAAGCUGGACCCAGCGACUGGGACCAGGAGCGGGGGUGAGGCUGUUUACCAGGCACCACAUCUUCUGGCAGUGGGCUAUGGCUGAAUAGGAGGGACUCUCUCAACGAUGGGCAUGGGCGGCAAUAGUGGAAUGGCCCACUACAGCCAAUUUCACACCUGCUGGCUUCCUGCACAUGCUGCUUCCUUCAUCCAGCCUCAAGGAGACCACAACCUUUGUCACACCCUGUGCUGAAGUCCUAAAGCAGAGACAGGAGCAGAGCAUGUUGGGUCCUGGAACCUCUUUGCUGGGCCCCCUUCUCCAGACCUUCCCUUGGGCUUCCCACAGUCCCUGGCUUGGAUCUCUACAUGGAAGUGACCAUACAAGGUAUUCCUAUGACAGUCCAACG